GUCCAUGCCGUAAACGAUGUCUACUAGCCGUUGGGGGAUUUGAUCCUUUAGUGGCGCAGCUAACGCGAUAAGUAGACCGCCUGGGGAGUACGGUCGCAAGACUAAAACUCAAAUGAAUUGACGGGGGCCCGCACAAGCGGUGGAGCAUGUGGUUUAAUUCGAUGCAACGCGAAGAACCUUACCUGGCCUUGACAUAGUAGAGACUUUUCCAGAGAUGGAUUGGUGCCUUCGGGAAUCUACAUACAGGUGCUGCAUGGCUGUCGU
Molecule: ribosomal RNA, 264 nt
Filed under: uncultured bacterium
Lineage: Bacteria
Description: partial 16S ribosomal RNA
Rfam family: Bacterial small subunit ribosomal RNA
Source: RNAcentral